UGCUUAACACAUGCAAGUCGAGCGAAGCAUUUUUAAGGAAGUUUUCGGAUGGAAUUAAAAAUGACUGAGCGGCGGACGGGUGAGUAACGCGUGGGUAACCUGCCUCAUACAGGGGGAUAACAGUUGGAAACGACUGCUAAUACCGCAUAAGCGCACAGUGCUGCAUAGCACAGUGUGAAAAACUCCGGUGGUAUGAGAUGGACCCGCGUCUGAUUAGGUAGUUGGUGAGGUAACGGCCCACCAAGCCGACGAUCAGUAGCCGACCUGAGAGGGUGACCGGCCACAUUGGGACUGAGACACGGCCCAAACUCCUACGGGAGGCAGCAGUGGGGAAUAUUGGACAAUGGGGGAAACCCUGAUCCAGCGACGCCGCGUGAGUGA
Molecule: ribosomal RNA, 381 nt
Filed under: uncultured bacterium
Lineage: Bacteria
Description: bacterial SSU rRNA
Rfam family: Bacterial small subunit ribosomal RNA
Source: RNAcentral